RNAcentral lists this long non-coding RNA (939 nucleotides) under Sorghum bicolor (sorghum). Its description in RNAcentral is "long non-coding RNA (SBIC_LNC006058)". The record is from RNAcentral. Lineage: Eukaryota; Viridiplantae; Streptophyta; Magnoliopsida; Poales; Poaceae.
CCUGUGAAUUGGCUGAUAUAAAUAAGCAAAGAGCUGACGAAACAAGAGAAACUUUUCUCUCUUCUUGAAGCCAUUCGUUCCUCGAACUUGAUGAUUAUAGUGGGUUACAAAUGUAGAAACUAUGAGUACUUUGGGACAAUGGAGCAAAACAUAGCAGAUUAAAUACAAUAAUUUUGAGAUUUAAUGCCUUGAAUCUUGGAUGGAGACAUACUGCGUAUCAAAAUUAUAGAGCUUGACAAGACCUAAAACUUUGAAAUUGGAACUUUUUUCAUUUGAAAUGAUUUAGGGGCUGAAAUAUUCGAGACAAGAUCAUGAAAAAGAUAGCUAUCUAGAUGUAUACUCACAAAAGAGUUUCUAGUGAUGUAGUGGAGCAUUUUUUUGUACAUGUGUAAGGUUUUAGGUUUGAAUCUCUAAAGAUUCAUUUUUUUUUGGUUUUUUAGGAUUAAUAGUGAGAAUUGAUUAGAACCGGAUGGCUUGCUCGUCUUUGAAAAUUAAAAUGUGUACCUCCAAAAAUGCUCCCAUAAUGAUUGGUUAAAAGUAGAUGACUUGUCCAUCUCUAAAAAAACAUCUGCCUUCGAAAAUGUUCUCUGUGACCAGUGAGGCAUUAUUAAAGAUGUUGGUGGCUUCUAGAAGGUUAACGAGCUUUAACAGCUAAUAGGUUCUUGGAAUGUAGGUUGGAGGUGUACAUGAACUAUUAACAUCCCUUUAUCAACUAAUGUGUAAAAAGCUAUAUUCUACUGGGUGGAAAAUAAUCUUUUAAGUUUUCUCUUAUUGAGUUGGAUGUGACAUAAAUGGGCCUUUGGCUAAAAAUAAGCUCCAAUUGUCGAAGAUAUAUGCUCUAAGAGCUGGCGCGGAGAGAUCAGUGAAUUUGUUUAAGGUUGUUCAUGUGGUGUUCUCACUGAGUGAUACCAAUAACCUAAUAAAUGGUCCUAAAAUGUG